Molecule: unclassified non-coding RNA, 345 nt
Filed under: soil metagenome
Description: partial contains 5.8S ribosomal RNA, internal transcribed spacer 2, and large subunit ribosomal RNA
Rfam family: 5.8S ribosomal RNA (bases 1-119)
Source: RNAcentral
GAUGAAGAACGCAGCGAAAUGCGAUACGUAAUGUGAAUUGCAAAUUCAGUGAAUCAUCGAGUCUUUGAACACACAUUGCGCCCCCUGGUAUUCCGGGGGGCAUGCCUGUCCGAGCGUCAUUGCUGCCCUCAAGCACGGCUUGUGUGUUGGGCCCCGUCCUCCGAUCCCGGGGGACGGGCCCGAAAGGCAGCGGCGGCACCGCGUCCGGUCCUCGAGCGUAUGGGGCUUUGUCACCCGCUCUGUAGGCCCGGCCGGCGCUUGCCGAUCAACCCAAAUUUUUUAUCCAGGUUGACCUCGGAUCAGGUAGGGAUACCCGCUGAACUUAAGCAUAUCAAUAAGCGAGGA